GUUUGAUCAUGGCUCAGAUUGAACGCUGGCGGAAUGCUUUACACAUGCAAGUCGAACGGUAGAGGGGGCAACCCCUUGAGAGUGGCGAACGGGUGAGUAAUAUAUCGGAACGUGCCCAGUCGUGGGGGAUAACGUAGUGAAAAUUACGCUAAUACCGCAUACGAUCUAAGGAUGAAAGCGGGGGAUCGCAAGACCUCGCGCGACUGGAGCGGCCGAUAUCAGAUUAGGUAGUUGGUAGGGUAAAGGCCUACCAAGCCAACGAUCUGUAGCUGGUCUGAGAGGACGACCAGCCACACUGGAACUGAGACACGGUCCAGACUCCUACGGGAGGCAGCAGUGGGGAAUUUUGGACAAUGGGCGAAAGCCUGAUCCAGCCAUUCCGCGUGCAGGAUGAAGGCCCUCGGGUUGUAAACUGCUUUUGUACAGAACGAAAAGGUCUCUAUUAAUACUAGGGGCUCAUGACGGUACUGUAAGAAUAAGCACCGGCUAACUACGUGCCAGCAGCCGCGGUAAUACGUAGGGUGCAAGCGUUAAUCGGAAUUACUGGGCGUAAAGCGUGCGCAGGCGGUUAUAUAAGUCAGAUGUGAAAUCCCCGGGCUCAACCUGGGAACUGCAUUUGAGACUGUAUAGCUAGAGUACGGUAGAGGGGGAUGGAAUUCCGCGUGUAGCAGUGAAAUGCGUAGAUAUGCGGAGGAACACCGAUGGCGAAGGCAAUCCCCUGGACCUGUACUGACGCUCAUGCACGAAAGCGUGGGGAGCAAACAGGAUUAGAUACCCUGGUAGUCCACGCCCUAAACGAUGUCAACUGGUUGUUGGGUCUUAACUGACUCAGUAACGAAGCUAACGCGUGAAGUUGACCGCCUGGGGAGUACGGCGCAGGGUUGAAACUC
RNAcentral lists this ribosomal RNA (890 nucleotides) under uncultured bacterium. RNAcentral's name for it is "bacterial SSU rRNA". It matches the Rfam family "Bacterial small subunit ribosomal RNA", at positions 11 to 902 of the family's 1533-position model. The record is from RNAcentral.